RNAcentral lists this transfer RNA (82 nucleotides) under Bacteroidota bacterium. RNAcentral's name for it is "Bacteroidetes bacterium (activated sludge metagenome) tRNA-Tyr". It matches the Rfam family "tRNA". Rfam says of the family: Transfer RNA (tRNA) molecules are approximately 80 nucleotides in length. Their secondary structure includes four short double-helical elements and three loops (D, anti-codon, and T loops). Further hydrogen bonds mediate the characteristic L-shaped molecular structure. tRNAs have two regions of fundamental functional importance: the anti-codon, which is responsible for specific mRNA codon recognition, and the 3' end, to which the tRNAs corresponding amino acid is attached (by aminoacyl-tRNA synthetases). tRNAs cope with the degeneracy of the genetic code in two manners: having more than one tRNA (with a specific anti-codon) for a particular amino acid; and 'wobble' base-pairing, i.e. permitting non-standard base-pairing at the 3rd anti-codon position. The record is from RNAcentral. Lineage: Bacteria; Pseudomonadati; Bacteroidota. RNAcentral also lists the same sequence under 1 other name.
GGGUCAGUACCAGAGUGGCCAAAUGGGGCAGACUGUAAAUCUGCUGACUUCGUCUUCGGUGGUUCGAAUCCAUCCUGGCCCA